This 566-nucleotide ribosomal RNA is filed under the name uncultured bacterium. RNAcentral's name for it is "bacterial SSU rRNA". It matches the Rfam family "Bacterial small subunit ribosomal RNA", at positions 334 to 917 of the family's 1533-position model. The record is from RNAcentral.
UACUCCUACGGGAGGCAGCAGUGGGGAAUAUUGGACAAUGGACCGAGAGUCUGAUCCAGCAAUUCUGUGUGCACGAUGAAGUUUUUCGGAAUGUAAAGUGCUUUCAGUUGGGAAGAAACAAAUGACGGUACCAACAGAAGAAGUGACGGCUAAAUACGUGCCAGCAGCCGCGGUAAUACGUAUGUCACGAGCGUUAUCCGGAUUUAUUGGGCGUAAAGCGCGUCUAGGUGGUUAUGUAAGUCUGAUGUGAAAAUGCAGGGCUCAACUCUGUAUUGCGUUGGAAACUGUAUAACUAGAGUACUGGAGAGGUAAGCGGAACUACAAGUGUAGAGGUGAAAUUCGUAGAUAUUUGUAGGAAUGCCGAUGGGGAAGCCAGCUUACUGGACAGAUACUGACGCUGAAGCGCGAAAGCGUGGGUAGCAAACAGGAUUAGAUACCCUGGUAGUCCACGCCGUAAACGAUGAUUACUAGGUGUUGGGGGUCGAACCUCAGCGCCCAAGCAAACGCGAUAAGUAAUCCGCCUGGGGAGUACGUACGCAAGUAUGAAACUCAAAGGAAUUGACGGA